ACAUAAAGUUGGCAACAGCAUGUAGCAAUAGAGAAGAAAGGCGAGAGUCUCCGACUCCGUCCCCUCCCCUUCGCAUCCCAUGCAACGGCGUCGAAAUCGGCAUCUCCUUCAGACAUAAACCGCUUGCUUUAAUAAAGAAAAGGGUACAGAUAUUUUAAUUUUCGUUUCCCUCUCUGUUUCUCUACAUCAUGGCAUUGCGUUGGCAGGACUGCAUAUGGUUGGUGAUGAAUGUUAAUGGCGUGGCCAGCUGCACAGUUCUCUCCUUCCAUUUUCGUCCCGUGUCCAAUAAUCUGCACAGAAGGACUCACAAAAUAGUUGCAGAAUUGCUUUGGUUGCAGCUCAUAGGGCUUGUUGAUGAAUGAUUGGUGGGCAAAUUUGAAGAUUGAGGUGUGCAGAUGAUGAAACUUUUGAAUUGCUGGGUAAAGAACAUGCGCUUGUCAUUUGCAAUCAUAUAAGAGUGACGUUGAUUGGCUUGUCGGAUGGAGCUGGUAAUGGUUGAUUUGCAUAUGUUCAUUGAGUCUACAAAUAAGACCCUCAAAAUCUUCCAUGAAGAAAAUAUCUGCUUCUCUGUAGGAGGAUUCAUUUUUC
Populus euphratica (Euphrates poplar) is the source of this 588-nucleotide long non-coding RNA. RefSeq lists it as uncharacterized. The record is from RefSeq and is a predicted model, not a curated record. The transcript has 4 exons. NCBI's taxonomy places the organism in Eukaryota, Viridiplantae, Streptophyta, Magnoliopsida, Malpighiales, Salicaceae.